Non-coding RNA from Chlorocebus sabaeus (green monkey), 325 nucleotides. Lineage: Eukaryota; Metazoa; Chordata; Mammalia; Primates; Cercopithecidae. The record is from RefSeq and is a predicted model, not a curated record.
UCAGGGAGGACCAGGGGGGUGCCACGGAUGACCAGGCCUGAGUGUCUGAGGAGUUUUGUCUGCGGCUCGUCCUGCUGCGUGGGAACUGAGUUUGCACUUGAGUCUCAGAAGGACAGAAACAUCAAAGGUAUAGCAACCCUCUCACACAGGCUGGUCCCUCUGAAGCCUGCCUGGGUUCACAGAAUGGUCCCCCUUCCCGGGGCCCCUGGUGUGUUCUCUUUCUCCUUUGUCGCCUGCUGACGUUGAGAAAUGCAAGACUCCUGUUCUGAUGCUCUGACCCUGGAUUUCCAUUUAUAAUAAAUAAAUGAAAAUGCGUUAUAAAUUA